AUACGGAGGGUGCAAGCGUUGUUCGGAAUUAUUGGGCGUAAAGCGCGCGCAGGCGGCUUGCCAAGUCUGAUGUGAAAGCCCGGGGCUCAACCUCGGAACUGCAUUGGAAACUGGUAGGCUUGAGUAUGAGAGGGGUUUGUGGAAUUCCUGGUGUAGGGGUGAAAUCCGUAGAUAUCAGGAGGAACACCGGUGGCGAAGGCGACAAACUGGAUCAUUACUGACGCUGAGGUGCGAAAGCGUGGGGAGCAAACAGGAGUAGAAACCCCAGUAGUCC
Molecule: ribosomal RNA, 274 nt
Filed under: uncultured bacterium
Lineage: Bacteria
Description: partial 16S ribosomal RNA
Rfam family: Bacterial small subunit ribosomal RNA
Source: RNAcentral